This 337-nucleotide ribosomal RNA is filed under the name uncultured bacterium. RNAcentral describes it as "bacterial SSU rRNA". It matches the Rfam family "Bacterial small subunit ribosomal RNA", at positions 28 to 365 of the family's 1533-position model. The record is from RNAcentral.
GACGAACGCUGGCGGCGUGCUUAACACAUGCAAGUCGAGCGGUAAGGCUCCUUCGGGAGUACACGAGCGGCGAACGGGUGAGUAACACGUGAGCAAUCUGCCCUUCACUUUGGGAUAACUCCGGGAAACCGGUGCUAAUACCGAAUACGACCACCUCAGGCAUCUGAUGGUGGUGGAAAGCUCCGGCGGUGAAGGAUGAGCUCGCGGCCUAUCAGCUUGUUGGUGGGGUAAUAGCCCACCAAGGCAACGACGGGUAGCCGGCCUGAGAGGGUGACCGGCCACACUGGGACUGAGACACGGGCCCAGACUCCUACGGGAGGCAGCAGUGGGGAAUAUU